This 5949-nucleotide long non-coding RNA is filed under the name Vitis vinifera (wine grape). RNAcentral describes it as "long non-coding RNA (VVIN_LNC008059)". Lineage: Eukaryota; Viridiplantae; Streptophyta; Magnoliopsida; Vitales; Vitaceae. The record is from RNAcentral.
UUAUGGGUGUCUUAACUAGGAAAUGGGUAUCUUACAUAUAAGUAUUUGGAAUCAUACAAUCUCAUUCUUUGAAUGAUAAUGCAGGACUCUGUUUGAAGAAAAAGAGAAACUCAUCCAUUUUACCAUUGUUGCAGGAAGAACAACUGACAGACGUGAAGGAAGACAUGGGUAUGAAAUAAACAAACUUUACCUUGAUGGUUGACCAUUCCUCAGCCAUUAGAGGAUCAUCAUGAUGUGGUUUAGGAGUAGAGCUAAAAUAAGCUUCUGGGCAUCUGGGUUCAACUUUGAAUUUCUUGCAAAAUGGUAGCCAUAUCUUUGAGAACUGAGAGGCCUCUAGGAGAGCAUAAAAUGUUAGACAUGACCCACCAUCAUCGGAUAGAUAGAUGCUCAGCUUCUCAGGCUGAUAGUCGUAAGCCAUGACUGAUAGGACUGUGUUGAUGACCAUAGUUGGUGGUUCUAUAAUGGGGUUGGCAGUGCACACAAAUAUGUCUAUCCCAGGCAAAACCUUCUCAUACCUGUUUCAAGGUCAGGAUUAGCCAGAGAAAGAGAUAGGAGAAGAAGAGAAUAAAGAGAGAGACCUUUGGGUAAGUCUGUCUUUGAAGGUGUUGCGGUAGAUGGGGCUCCAUCUUACAGACAGGAUGACAAACCAGUAGAGUAUGUACCAAAGCUCUGAUAAGAACAAUCCUAUCCAAGGCCAUCUUCCAACUUCGCCUUCCUCUGGUAGAUGAGUUAGUCUGUAAACACAAAUCAAACAUAUGCCCACAAAGGUUGAAACAGCAUACAAUCCAAAGAGGAGUCUACCCUUUGCAGCCUUUGUUUCAAACAGAGGAAGCUGGCCAUCUCUUCCCAUCUUCCACACAUUCACUACCUCUGCUCUAUAAGCUAUGGCCUUGAUGUAGUUCUACCAAGCAACCGUCAACCAUCAACCCUUUGGUUUCAUUAUAAGAACAUCUUACUCGUUCUAAAUAUCCCUAUCAAGGGCCAACCGUGUUUAGGUCCUCAUUUUUUUUGAACUACUUUUGAAGAUUGAGAAGUUAAAGUUGAAGGGCCUCGCAUUACUAAUAUCUCAUGCCUCUUUUCCUACUACUUUGGAUUUGGAGAUCAACCUUGAGGAAGAAAAUUGAGUUGAAGUUUAAAAAAUGAACAUGAAUAUAGAGAAGAAAAAGAUUAAUUUAAUAUAACCUUUCUUAAAUUAUAAUUUUGUUCCUUUUUCUUUGUUUAAUUUAAUUUUAUCUUAUCUUUUUAAAAAGGUUCACGGUGGGCCACGAUUUCCAUGCAACUUCGUAAGCCUCAUGUCAUGUCUUAAGAACACUUGGGCAGCAUGCAUGCUCUCUAUAUAAAAAAAUUUAAAAUAAAAAUGCAUUGGGAAAACUAUAUUUUCUAUAAAAAUAUUAUACAUUGUUGUAUAAUAUAAAAUUCAGAUGUAUUCUUUGUUUUUCCAAUUGUUUUUUUGGAACACUUUAAAACAUACCUCGUUCCAAAUUUCGCCGACAUGCCUAGAGGUGGGUAGGUGAUUGCGGAGUGAGAGCAUGAUACUGUGGCAACACACGUCUAUCUGUGGGGAGGUGGUACUAGAGCAUGGUUAUGUGGCAUUGCACAGGCCUUACAUAUGAAGGGGUUGGGGGUGGACUGAUGCGUGAAGGAGUUGCUCAUGUAAUGAUCUUAUCCUCUAUACGAGAUCAACAUACACCGGUACCUAGAAGUAAAAUGAUGUAAUAUGUAAUGCAUACAAAGUGGGUUGUGGAAAGGACACUUUGCUUACCCAUGCAGUAAGACUAAUACAAGGCUAAAGUAACCGACUUGUAUGCAACACAGGCCCUUGUCCUCGCGGAAAAAGGAUGUUUUUCUGAUGUGGAGGCAGGUUGAUGAGGGAAAGUCUAUACAUAGAGUAGACUUUAAUAUUUGAAUGAAAAAUGACAUUGUUUCAUGAAGGGUACUAUUGCCUCGUUUGAGUUUUUGUAAAAUGUGAACAUACGAAGAAAAUAAAAGCAACCUUUAGAAAGAAAAGGAUCAAGGAGUUUAUACUUCCCUUCUUUGUUGGUCUCCGUGUGAACAUCUCAAUGCAGAGCCAAAAAGUCAAAAUUAGGGGAAACAGGGUAAGAUUUCCUGAUAACCCCUGAAACCCACCAAUUCCCCUGUGCUUCUUAGGAAGCAUCUUCUGACUUGACUAGAAGUUCCAAUUUCUUCACCCUUGUUGUUAUAUUAAGCAAAGGUUUCUCAGCUAGCUGUUGUGUAAAAGAGAUAGGUUAUGCAAUGAUCAUAUUCUUACCAUGACAAAUAGAAAGUUCCUUUCCUAGAAUAUAUUACUUGUUACAGAGCGAGUUCAUAGAAAAACAUCUGCAAAGUAUUACUUGAUGCAAAGUUUUAAGUAGAAAGUUGCUUUGCAUAAUGUUCUAAUAUAAGGCUAGUGAACAAGCCAGUAGAGCGAAGGCAAUUGAUUGAUAUGUGACAGAGCAGGGCAUUCUGGUCGCGUCCUUUCGGAAGAAGAGGCCAUGGUAUACUGGGAGGUUCAUAAGAACCAGAACCCCGCAUAGAAGAAUCUGCAAUAAGAGAGAGUCUAACACCUGAGCUUGCAUAUCAAUAAUCACCCUCUUUAUGCCUCCAACAAAAGUGAACAGGUUGAGCAAAGCCAGCGUGGCUAAAAUGGUGAACAUUGGUGAAGCGGCACCGAACUCCAUGAUCUCUUGCUCAAACCUCUUAGAUUCUUCUUCAUCUGCCACCUUGGAAGUGACUGCAAAGGAAGACCUAGAAAAUCCUAACUGCUUCAAUAUGGUUUCUGAAAAGCCAAAGAAGUGGGAAGUUGUUCUCUUAAACACCCACAUCCUUUGAUCAUUCCACCAACCCAGGAGAGUACCACCACACCAAAUAAACUCGCCCAAACUGUAUGCACAGCUGCUGCUCAUGACAUAUGCAAAAGGUAGGAUCCAUAGGCUUGAAAUCUGAAGGCACAAGAUGGUCAAUUUCUUAACAAUCCAAUUAUGUAGCAUCUGUUUAAUAACUUGAGGCUUAUACCUUUGGAAACAAGGAGAUGCCUUUCAGGAGACAAAGCGAUGGUAUGGCGACAUAGUAUAGAGUAGGCAGGCAGUUUGGGGCCCACAACAAGAAGAUACAGUAGGAAAUUUGAAGUUUAAGGGGAAUCCUUUUAUGCCCAUAUGUGAAGGGACAGUAACUUGAGAGGAAUAUCUGAAAAUCACCUUCACUCCAUCUCUUAUGUUGUAUCAGUGAUUGCAGUAGUGUGGUUGGUGCAACGCCAAGGAACGCUUUCCUUUCGGGAGUGAAAUAGAUUGAUUUCCAACCUCUGCAUUGUAUUGAUAGCCCUGUCAGGACAUCUUCCACUGGACAACCAUACUUCAAGCCCAUCUGCAAAUGAAUAGAUAUGAGGUUACAUAUCUGUGUGUGUGACUUAAGGAGUGUGUGUGUGUGUGUGAGAGAGAGAGAGAGAGGAACCUCCUUUCCCCACUGAGUGUUAUCUUCAUAGCUGCAACUUGCAAGAACUUUGCAUGUUUCUUCUAGUACACUUGCACUUUCUUCUAUCUUUCCGUCAUUGUUUCUUGUUGUCUGCUCUCUCUCACAUUCCAUAUCAUACUUCUUCCCACAGAGAGUCUCUCUCCUGUGAAAGCACCCAGUGCCAAUAUAGCAAGGCCCUCCAUGGCUAUCAAAACCUGCUAGCUCCACCUUGAUCAUAGAAAUUUUACACAGAAGAGUUGCUAGUGUUAGAAUUCUUUCAAUGGGUUAAAACUUAAAAUUAUUUAUACUCUGGGUAAGUGCCCACCUCCAUGAUAACAUUUAAGGAGCUAGCAUAUAAGUCGUUCUUUGUGAUGUUGUUGAAGCACUGUGGAAACUGUACAUAGGCAAUCUCACGGCCUGUCUCUUCAUCCAUCAAGAAGCACAGAGCAUCUUUCACCGAUUCUGAAUUGUUCGAGUACAUGUCACAGUCCACAUUAAGAAUAAUCUCACAAUUGCUUAUCCUUGAUGACACCCUUAUCUAUUCAUUCAAGAUGAUCAUAAAAUAUACCAAUUCAUCAAUGCAUCUGUCCAUGUGUAGUUGCAAAUCUGGAUUUCAAGCAUAAUGAGUUAUAGCUUACUAAGGCAUUCAUGGCUCCUGCCUUAAAGUUGUGGGCGUAUUUGGGUCUCUUCUCACGAGACAAGUAUACUAGAGUUGGCAAAGGUUGGCCUUCAACAUCCAUAGCUUUGCCAUCUCUCCCAUCAAUUAGUAUCUGUGAAAUUAGCAGAAGAUUAAUAAGAUCAAACAUUAGGAGAAAAUGAAGAAUUAUUCGUUCUCUUUCUUUUUUACAUCCUUCGGUUCCUCUGAUAGGCUUUGCCCAUCAUGAUAUGAGUUUCUAAGAUCUAUAUCUGAUAAUGAAAAGUAUAUGCUUGUAUAUCGGAUGUGAAUAAAAGGAUACGCUUGUAAAGCCUAAAAGACAGUGAGAAGUACUUGAAGAAUGGUUUGAUGAUUCCGUGGAUCAGAAACCAAGUCCCACUCUCCAAAUCCUUUGUGUUGUUUGCGUAUUUCUUCUGAAAUUUGGCCCACCUUCAUAGCAGAUUCUAUCCGGUUCCUCAUAUCUUCAUAUAAUUUCUGUGACGGAAAUAAGUAAAUAAAUAAAAGAUAAGUUUUUAGUCUUUUAAGUUUGAAGUUGAUAGGAGAUAGUGUACACGCCACUUUUGUUAUUUCAAAGGACAGUUCAAUCAAUGAUUUGAACAUUUCAAUGCAUCGGAGGUUGCGGUCCAGAUGAAAAAAUUUGUCCGGAUUGGAGUGGGACAUAGUUUCUGUGGACAGAUGCAGAGCUUGAAAUGGACUCUGGCCAAUGCAAGCAUUGGUGGAUAUGAACCGUUCAAAGUUGAUUGUGAUGUGCAGCUUGGCAUAUUCGUAAGAAAUUAAUUUUUUUACGGUACCUUUUAUUAGGAGAUGGGCAUCUUAUACCUAAACUUUUGGAACCAUACAAUCUCAUUCUUUGAAUAAUGAUGCUGGACUCCGUUUGAAGAAAAAGAUGAGCUCAUCCAUUUUAUCAUUGUUGCUGAAUAUGAACUACUCAAAAUUGAUUGUGUUGUUCAGAUUGUUAUAUUCCUAAGAAUUUGUUAUAAUUCAGGACUCUGUUUGAAGAAAAAGAGAAUAUCAUCCAUUUUGCCAUUGUUGCAGGAAGAGCAACAGACAGAUGUGAAGAAAGACAUGGAUAUAAAAUAAGCAAACUUUACCUUGAUGGAUGACCAUUCCUCAGCCAUUAGAGGAUCAUCAUGAUGUGGUUCAGAAGUAGAGCUAAAAUAAGCUUCUGGGCAUCUGGGUUCAACUUUGAAUUUCUUGCAAAAUGGUAGCCAUACCUUUGAGAACUGAGAGGCCUCUAGGAGAGCAUAAAAUGUUAGACAUGACCCACCAUCAUCAGAUAGAUAGACGCUCAGCUUCUCAGGCGGAUAGUCGUAAGCCAUGACUGAGAGAACUGUGUUGAUGACCAUAGUUGGUGGUUCAAUAAUGGGGUUUGCAGUGCACACAAAUAUGUCUAUCCCAGGUAAAACCUUCUCAUACCUGUUUCAAGGUCAGGAUUAGCAAGAGAAAGAGAUUGGAUAAGAAGAAAAGAAAGAGAGGGACCUUUGUGUAAGCCUGUCUUUGAACGUGUAGCGGUAGAUAGGUUUCAAUCUGACUGUCACAGUGAUAAACCAGUAGAGUAUGUACCCGAGCUCUGACAAGAACAAUCCUAUCCAAGCCCAUCUUCCAACUUUUCCUUCCUCUGGUAGAUGAGUUAGUCUGUAAACACAAAUCAAACAUAUGCCCACAAAGGUUGAAACUGCAUACAAUCCAAAGAGGAUUCUACCCUUUGCAGCCUUUGCUUCAAACAGAGGAAGCUGGCCAUCUCUUCCCAUCUUCCACACAUCCACUACCUCUGCUCUAUAAGCUAUGACCUUGAUAUAAUUCUACCAGGCAACUGUCAACCCUUUGGUUUCAAUAAAAGAGCAUCU